Hippocampus zosterae (dwarf seahorse) is the source of this 851-nucleotide long non-coding RNA. RefSeq lists it as uncharacterized. The transcript has 2 exons. The record is from RefSeq and is a predicted model, not a curated record. Lineage: Eukaryota; Metazoa; Chordata; Actinopteri; Syngnathiformes; Syngnathidae.
CCAGAGGGCCCAAGACCGCAGAAUGGGAUCUCCAAAAGGUUGACUCCUAACUUUAGCAGGAGGGUUUCGGGUAGGGAUCCCGUGACGGCGUGGGGUCAUAAAUCACACCGGUGGACCUUUUCAUUGCCUUCUUUCUUGUUGGUGACCUCUGCCUCAAGGUGGGUGGGGGGUGGGAAAUCUGAGCAGAACAUCUGGGGUGGGGGGGGGGGUUGUCAGAUUGAAGCAAGGGACAAGGCAAGCUUGGUCUUUAUUAAGCACAUGGCCUCCAGAGAAAUGGAAUAUUCAAAGUGUUGUGUGAACAAGGCGAAUGUGGAGCUUUCUGCUUAGUCUGGGAGACUUUUUUUUUCUAACUUCAUUUGAGUUGUAUUUAACUUUCAAGUUAAGUAAGCAUUUAACGUUUAAGAUUUUACUAAAUUAUACAUUUUAAUGAAAUUGUUACUCAAGUACCCUAUUAGCUGGCAUCUAUACAUUUCAGUUACACAGAAUUUUUUUUUUAAAGUAAAACAAUGCUACAGAUGAAGGACUUUGAAACGCAAAAAGUUUGAAUAAGAAAAAAAAUGGAGGUCAUGAAGUCUUCAUGUUCAGAGGGAGAAAGUCUGAUUUACUAAUUGCAAUGUUACCCCCCCCCCCCCAAAAAAGUGUCUGUGGCCCUCCUCAGUUUUUAGCUCCCCAUUACGUCGUUUUCACGUGAAGUCAACAAAAACUAGAGCGUUUUCACCCGAAAAAGUUUCCCCUUCUCAUUGACCUACAUUGUUGCACGUUAGCUCAUACAGCCAAAUUGUCCGACGGCUAACAGAAGCAUGCUAGCCGGAUUAGCCUUUUUUUUUUUUCUCCGGAGGGAAAUUAAAGAA